UACGGACAUAUCACGUUCAAAAACCGGUUCUCAUACGAUCAUCGAGGUUAAGCAACGUCAAGCCAGGUCAGUACCUAGAUGGGUGACCAUUUGUGUAUACUAGGUGCUGUAA
Acanthosepion pharaonis is the source of this 112-nucleotide non-coding RNA. The record is from the annotation of a GenBank genome assembly. NCBI's taxonomy places the organism in Eukaryota, Metazoa, Mollusca, Cephalopoda, Sepiida, Sepiidae.